AUGCUAGUUAUCUACUUAUGGAUUAAAUUAGUUGAAAAAUUGCCUAUUUUCUCAGCACCAUUAUCUUAUCCAGAGGAACGCCCGAGUGUUGUGUACCCAACAACGCCAUCCCCCAGACAUCAGGAAUAUUACGAGGAGUACACACCAGAGGAGUACUUCGAGCCGGACGAGGAGGCCACGGUGUGCAUUGGGAAUCUACCGUAUGACAUUGACAAGAAGGACCUUGCCCUGCUCUUCAAGGAUGUUGGCAUCGUCAUGUUUUCGGAGAUCAUUUAUGACAGGGAAACAGGCGAGAGCUGUGGAUAUGGGUUUGUCACCAUGAGUACUGCUGAGGAGGCCAAGAAGGCUGUGGAGAUGUACAAUCGCCGUGAGAUGGACGGCAGGCCCCUGACUGUGUACAAGACAGCUGCUACCAGAGGUGCCCAGACAGAAGAAACGCCGUCUCCCCACCCCUGUCGAUCAGAGUCUUCUUCGUUCAAGAUCUAUGUGGACAAUCUUCCCUGGAAAGUGAGCAACUCAAACCUGAAGCAGCUGUUCAGUGACUAUGGUGAAGUGGUCGGUGCCAAAGUUGUUUACCACCGCGGAAGAGAAGCCGGGCGCUCCCCAUUCGGUUUUGUCACGAUGGCGACGCGGCAGGAAUCGGAGAAUGCCAUUUGGCACCUCAACAAGCAGGUCAGUCAGUGCGUGGUCUGGUUGGUUGCCAGUCAAUUGUUGUACGAGCAGAUGAAGCAGAUUUGGUUUUACUGA
Molecule: ribosomal RNA, 747 nt
Filed under: Triticum aestivum (bread wheat)
Lineage: Eukaryota; Viridiplantae; Streptophyta; Magnoliopsida; Poales; Poaceae
Description: partial small subunit ribosomal RNA
Source: RNAcentral